GCGGGCGUGGUUCAAUGGUAGAACACUAGCUUCCCAAGCUAGUAACGGCGGUUCGAUUCCGCUCGCCCGCUCCA
RNAcentral lists this transfer RNA (74 nucleotides) under Candidatus Omnitrophota bacterium. Its description in RNAcentral is "Candidatus Omnitrophica bacterium tRNA-Gly". It matches the Rfam family "tRNA". From Rfam's summary of the family: Transfer RNA (tRNA) molecules are approximately 80 nucleotides in length. The record is from RNAcentral. Lineage: Bacteria; Pseudomonadati; Candidatus Omnitrophota.